CGCGUAGGCGGCCGAGCGGGUCGCGGGUGAAAUCCUCCAGCUUAACUGGAGAACUGCCCUCGAUACCACUGCGGCUCGAGGAAGGAAGGGGCAAUCGGAACUGUCGGUGGAGCGGUGAAAUGCGUUGAUAUCGACAGGAACGCCGGUGGCGAAAGCGGAUUGCUGGUCCUUUUCUGACGCUGAGGCGCGAAAGCCAGGGAGCAAACG
Molecule: ribosomal RNA, 207 nt
Filed under: uncultured bacterium
Lineage: Bacteria
Description: partial 16S ribosomal RNA
Rfam family: Bacterial small subunit ribosomal RNA
Source: RNAcentral